CUAGCGACUUCAGUAGUUUGAUCCUGGCUCAGGAUGAACGCUGGCAGCGUGCUUAACACAUGCAAGUCGAACGAAGCUACUUUACCGGUAUUUCUUCGGAAUGAAAGUUAUUGUGACUGAGUGGCGGACGGGUGAGUAACGCGUGGGUAACCUGCCUCAUACAGGGGGAUAACAGUUGGAAACGACUGCUAAUACCGCAUAAGCGCACGGCAUCGCAUGAUGCAGUGUGAAAAACUCCGGUGGUAUGAGAUGGACCCGCGUCUGAUUAGCUAGUUGGUAAGGUAACGGCUUACCAAGGCGACGAUCAGUAGCCGACCUGAGAGGGUGACCGGCCACAUUGGGACUGAGACACGGCCCAA
This 359-nucleotide ribosomal RNA is filed under the name uncultured bacterium. RNAcentral's name for it is "bacterial SSU rRNA". It matches the Rfam family "Bacterial small subunit ribosomal RNA", at positions 1 to 334 of the family's 1533-position model. The record is from RNAcentral.